CAUUAAAUGCAAAUUUUAUGCUGCUAAUUGACAGGCGCAACACUGAAUAUAGCAGGAUUGCAUUAAUUGCAAGCUGAAUAGCAGCUGCUACCAUACAAAGUGCAGGGGGGCGCAAAGCUGGAAAUAGCCGAACUUCAUUAAUUGCAAGUUGACUAGCAGGUUUUCUGUUCGUAUGUCUAUAAAGAACACACAUUAGUGAUCUCCGCCUCUU
Molecule: small RNA, 211 nt
Filed under: Drosophila mojavensis
Lineage: Eukaryota; Metazoa; Arthropoda; Insecta; Diptera; Drosophilidae
Description: GI26303
Source: RNAcentral